GAAGGAAAAGAUUACAAAAAAAUGAAAAUCGUUAGCUUUGCAGUGUUUGCUUACUGUAGCGGGUGCUGCUCGCUCUAGUUACUGAGCGCGGUUCACAGGCGCUGCUGUGUUGAUCUUGUGAAGGUGAUCAAGUGAUCUGUUCCCUACUGUUCAUUCACUGCAUCAUCAGACCUGAGAGAAGAGGCUGCGGAGACGGCUGUGUGCCCGGAUUGAUAACAGAAGUGUACUCAAGAAGUGCGCUGUGAUCGAUGGGCUUGCUCUGUCUCCAGUCUAUCAACAGGCUGCUGUUCGUACACGUUUGGCUGCAAGUCUGUGAUGCAGUUACAGUGCCCCGGCCUCCAGUGACGUCACCUCUCGGCAGUGAUGUCACUCUCAGCUGGUCUUUCUCCUAUAAAGAGGGGGCUGAUCUCAGCGGAUUGGUGGUUACCUGGCAACGCCCUCCUGUCGAUCAUGUGGUCCACAGUUUCUAUUACGGUCGAGACCAGCUGGAUCUGCAGAAUGAAGCCUACAGGAAUCGGACCCAGCUGUUCCCAGAGCAGCUCAGUGUGGGGAAUGCCUCCCUCAGACUGAAACAGGUGCGGGGGGAGGAUGAGGGCCGGUACACCUGCGCUGUCGCCAACCAAGUGGAGAGCACCAGGGGAGACGUGCAGCUCCUAGUGGCAGGUCAGUGUCAUCGGGGAGACGUGCAGCUCCUAGUGGCAGCUGAAUUCGUCGAGCCUCAGCUGGUCGUUACUGACAGUCCGGACAGCCCCGACCAGGCUCUCCUGAGCUGCAUCUCGAGAGGAUACCCCAGCGCUUCAGUGCAGUGGCUCAAUGAGACCGGCUGUGACAUCACAGAGAGCAGCAAGACUAGCCAAUCGCUGGACAAUAAGGGGAAAAAUAUUAUAAUAUUUAUAUAAUAACAACGUUAUAGGAGACAGCCAGCAUGGCUUUAGGAAGAGUAGACCUUGUUUAUAUUUAUUAGAUUUCUUUCAGGGGAUGAGUCUAAAGUCAACUUGACAGGCUAUAGAGCAGAGACAGUUGAAUUCAAAUCUAGAGAAGUUAUAUUAAAAUGAUAUAAUGUGCUGGCAUGACCACACCUAGAAUACUGUGUACAGUUUAGGUCCCCGUAUCAUAAGAAAGACAUUGAGGCACUGGAGAGAGUACAGGGGAGAGCGGCCCGAUUAACGAUGAAGUGCUAUCGGACCACGCUGGCACCGAAGCCUUUUCCCGUUCUGGAAUGUCUCAUGUUCUUAUGACUCCUUCCUUUCGCUCUCCACCCCGAGCUUCAACACCUCAACCAGGCAACUGUUGCAGAGGACUCUGUGCACCUCGCUGUCUGGAAGUCAGAAAUGUAGACCUGCACUACUUAAGAACAUACAAGAAGUUUAUGCGAUCCACCAGGGCGCAUGCCUUGCUGCAAACCAACGUCCCUACUGAAUGGAACUGAUUUAAAAGAACUGAAUUUAGUAUUUUUUUGUAAUGUUUUGUAAAAAAUAAUAAUAAUAAUAAUAAUAAUAAUCGUUGUAAAUUUUUAUUUCUAUUUUCUUUAAACUGGAAGAAACAUUACAAUGUAAUGCAUUUCACUCUAAAAAUACGUUUUGUUUUAAAAUGAACUCUUCUAAUAUGGGCACUACUUAAAAUUGACACGGAGGCCUCUCUGGAACGCAAAUGCUGUUACGCACCCGCAGCAGCACUUGCCCCUGUGUAAUACCCCCUUGUGUUUUCCCCUUUCCGUUACUGCACCAGCCUCCUUUCCAGCGCUAAGACAUGUGUGAUAAAGGGGAAGGAGAAAAAGGCAAGCGGAGGAGUGGAGCUAAUUUUUUUAUGUGUUGGAUAAACUACGCUGUGUUCUGAUAAAGAAAAUUAAUGCAACCUUCAUUGUUGGACCCCUUGCAUCGUCCCCGAGUCAUUACAAAUACAACCUUACAUGUGUAGGCGGCAUCCUUUAUUACCCAUAUCGUGUGUCGUGUAGUGAGAGAAUUGUAUCUCUGUAAUUUGAUCCAUUGUGAAUUCAUACUUAUUCAUGUAGUGUUUCCGGGAGGCGCGCCCAAGGAUCGGAACUGAAAUGAAAUACCUGUCAAGAAGGCGCACGUCGGCAUUUUCUAUUGGCUGCGAGUCUCAAAGUGGGAAAUUCAAAUAUAUCGCAGAGUGCCUCCAUGCAUUAUCAGACCUGAGAGAAGAGGCUGCGGAGACGGCUGCGUGCCCGGGUUGAUAACAGAAGUGUACUCAGGAAGCUAUGAAAAAGCUGCUGUUCCUACAAGUUUGCCUGCAUAGUAAGUUACUGAAACAGUUAAAUUGUAUUUUAAUUUCUGACCAAUUUGCCCCAGAACUGCAGAGUACAGAUUAAAAUGAAAAAUGAUUGCCCGUGAGACAGUGUUUUCCGACAGUCUGAAACUCGCUGUCUAACCCGACUCUCAUCUUCUCUGCUGUUUUCUGACAGGUGGAAUGGGUGGCAUAAUUAGUCAGUAUUUAAAUGAGAAACCUGUAUGUUAAUGACGCAAACCACAGUUUAUACAUGAUUUGAGGAUUUCAAUCAAUGGACAGGUGGGGUUGAAGGGUAGUGAAGGCGGAGCGUGUUUCAGGAGAAACAAGAGAAGAUACAUUUAAUAGAACAGAAUUAUAAAGCUAGUACAGCAGGACAAAGAAAAAAAUAUUUAGAGAACUCAUUUGAAUAUAUAUUUUAUUAAAUUAUAGAUUCGGUUACGCAGGAUAUUUUAUGACGAAAUGAAAAAUAAGUAAAUCCAUAAAUGAAUACAUAAAUAUAGAAAU
RNA transcript from Polyodon spathula (Mississippi paddlefish), 2751 nucleotides. It is a transcript of the gene named CD276 antigen-like, with no coding region annotated. NCBI's taxonomy places the organism in Eukaryota, Metazoa, Chordata, Actinopteri, Acipenseriformes, Polyodontidae. The record is from RefSeq and is a predicted model, not a curated record. The transcript is spliced from 6 exons.